RNAcentral lists this unclassified non-coding RNA (439 nucleotides) under Hevea brasiliensis (rubber tree). Lineage: Eukaryota; Viridiplantae; Streptophyta; Magnoliopsida; Malpighiales; Euphorbiaceae. The record is from RNAcentral.
UGAGCUGGAUUUAGAGGAGACAAACAGAUUGGGUUAUUUCGGGUUGCAUUUUGAUUUGGGUUACCAAAUGGGUUGUUAUACAAAAAAAUAUUUUGGGUCAAUUUGCGGGUUACAGGUCAUUUUGGGUCAAAGUAUUAUUUCAAUUUUCGGUUCAAAAUUUCGAGUUAAUUAUCAACCUAAACUAAACAGGUUGGCUUCAGGUCUGGUCAUUGGGUUGACCCUCAGUUUUUUCGGUCAUUUGGAUUUUAUGUAGGUUGAAACAGGUUAUUGGUCGCUUUGCUGCCAGGGGUUGCCAGGGGUUGGGUCAAGUCAUAUUUUGCCAACUCUAGCUGGAUUCCAAUGAUUAUUAUUAAUUCAUUAUAUCAUCAUUAUCACCACAAAAGAUUGUCUACAGCAUUCAAUAAUCAGUUAUAACAACCUCCUGUGAUCACAAACUGAA